GGGUAACAUGCCCUAAGGUGGGGGAUAAUCUCGGGAAACUGAGGAUAAUACCCCAUAGGUCUGAUAUGCUGGAAUGCUUUCAGGCCGAAAACUCCGGUGCCUUAGGAUUGGCCUGCGGUCUAUCAGGCUGUAGUGGGUGUAAUGGACCCACUAGCCCGUGACGGAUAUGGGCCUUGAGAGAGGGAGCCCAGAGAUGGACUCUGAGACAUGAGUCCAGGCCCUACGGGGCGCAGCAGUCGCGAAAACUUCGCAAUGGGGGCAACCCCGACGAGGGAAUUCCAAGUGCCAGCACUUUGUGUUGGCUGUUCUCCUGUCUAAAAAACAGGAGGAGUAAGGGGCGGGUAAGACGGGUGCCAGCCGCCGCGGUAAUACCCGCGCCCCUAGUGGUGGUCGAUAUUAUUGAGCCUAAAACGUCCGUAGCCGGUCUUCUAAAUCCUUGGGUAAAUCGGGCAGCUUAACUGUCCGAAGUCCGGGGAGACUGGGAGACUUGGGACCGGGAGAGGUCAGAGGUACUUCUGGGGUAGGGGUAAAAUCCUGUAAUCCUGGAAGGACCACCGGUGGCGAAGGCGCCUGACUAGAACGGAUCCGACGGUGAGGGACGAAGCCCUGGGGCGCAAACGGGAUUAGAUACCCCGGUAGUCCAGGGUGUAAACGCUGCGGGCUUGGUGUUGGGGGUCCUUAGUGGGCGCCCAGUGCCGGAGAGAAGUUGUUAAGCCUGCUGCUUGGGGAGUAUGUCCGCAAGGAUGAAACUUAA
RNAcentral lists this ribosomal RNA (754 nucleotides) under uncultured archaeon. RNAcentral's name for it is "bacterial SSU rRNA". It matches the Rfam family "Archaeal small subunit ribosomal RNA", at positions 102 to 859 of the family's 1478-position model. The record is from RNAcentral.